GAGGAAGGCGGGGAGGCCCGCUGGUGCUGCUGCUGCCCCCACCAGGGGCCCGUCCCUCCGUCCCUCUGGGACUCUCUGCUCCUCCUGGUGAGCUCCGCCACCACCUCCUCCCCCGCCCCUACCCCACCGCCGCCUCCCAAAACCGCCUCACGCUCAAGGCCCCCCCCUUGACACCGGGUGGCCCGGCUCCACACCCGUUCCCCUUCCCGCGAUCCGGACACGGGGACCCUGAUGUCCCCCGCCUCCGUCCGCACCAGCAGUGGCGGCAGCCCUCCAGGUUCCCGUGCGGGUCGUAGGCGGGGCUGCAGGGGGCUGGCGGCCAAAGGCCCCACGGAUCCUGCUCUAGCUCCCGGGAGAAGGGGCACGCGGCCACGGGCCCGGCGCCCCCUGGCCCGGCCCGGGUGGCUGCGUCACCCCGCUCCAGUCCGGCCCAGACGUGGCUUGGGGCUUCCCGGGCCCGACCGGCCAGGCCCCCAGGCCCCCGGACCUGGGACCUCCCUCGCGCUCCAUCCCGUCCGUCCGUCCGUCCGUCCGUCCCCGGACUCCCUCCACGUCACUCCCGGGGCCCCUCCACGCGGGACAGAGAGCAUGGCGCCGGGCUCCCGGAUCCCCCCCCCUCCGAGGACUUUCCGCUUGAUGGCAGUAUUGCACCGCGAAUGCCAGCCCGCCCUUCCCCCAGGGCCUCUCCCUCCGCCCUCUGCCAGAAGAAAAAAAGGCCACGCCAGAGGACUCGGGAGCCAAGCCCGUGUCCGUGUCCGCUGUCCCUCGCCCCAACAUGGCGGGCGGGCGGCUCUCCUGUCAAGGGCCGGGGUGAGGGUGGAGGGGUGGCGGGUGGCGGGUUCGGCCGCGGGCCAACGGGCCCGCGCGGGCGAGCGAGCCAGCGAGCAAGCAAGCAAGCAAGCAAGCACCCCGGCUUCUGAGGCUCCCGGGAGCGGAGCCCCGUCCCCUGGGCUGGGGGGCCCAGCUCCGUUUGCCCCCGUGGGCCAAUAGUCAGGCACGCAUCUGCCAGUCCAGUGCCCCGAAGGAGGCUCCCGCUCUGGAUCACGCGGACCGACCUCCGUGGAGGCCCCGGCUGUCCCGGUAGCCCACACACGGGUGGAAGAAGGUCCGGGAUGGGUCGUGCCUUCCCGUCCACACGCGUCCACGAGCAGGCCCCGAGCGUCCGCGGGUGUCUCCCCGCGCCGCCGUCGCCGCCGCCGCCGCCGCCGCGUGCCAGAGGCAGCGUGUUGCCCCUUCUCCUCACACCAGUCAGCUUCCCGGAAGGCCCCUUAGUUAGUGGGGGGCGGGGGUGGCACGAGGGGCCGUGCACGCUGUCCCCUUCCUUGGUCAAACCUGGCCCCGGGGCACCGAGGAGGCGGCCUGCAUCUCCUGACCCCGGUCUCCCUCCGAGCUCCCCCCACCACCACCCCCCGCCGACGCCUGAGAUCCAGGCGGUGUCCACGCGCCCUUUGGGUCCCGGCGCCCACAGCGGCACCCGCGGAGCUCGGGCACCUGCCCAGGGGCGAGGAACCGGGUCUCCCUGGCCCCGAGCCCGAGACCGAGGAGCAGGGAGGACUUCGCUGGCCUACUCUUGCUUGACAAGCCGGGUGGGCAAGGUGGGCGGCGUUGCGCUGACUCUGCGGGAUGAGAGGUCCUGCAGGGCCGAGCGGUCCCCGGGCAGGGUACCCCCGCAGCCUCUGUCACCGGUCCCGCCCUGGGGUGCCGUGCGGCCCGUGCCCGGACUCUGAUUGGCGAGCCGGGCGCGACGCCCAGCCCGACGCCGCCGAGCUAGGGGACGCCCGCGUGACCCUCCCUUGGCGCGGCCCCGUGUCCCCGCCAUCGACCGUCGGGGCGGUAGACUCGUGUGGGAGCCGGACCCUUCCUUGCCCGGGCGGCGCGUGCCCCCUUCGGGGUCCUCGGUGGCUCCCGCCUGCUUGUGGAGGGUGUUCGGACCUGGGCUUCGUGGUCAGAAGGGAAGCCCCAGGGAGGCCGGUAGGCCUCGGGGAACGGA
RNAcentral lists this long non-coding RNA (1990 nucleotides) under Vulpes vulpes (red fox). RNAcentral describes it as "lncRNA (ENSVVUG00000018598.1)". Lineage: Eukaryota; Metazoa; Chordata; Mammalia; Carnivora; Canidae. The record is from RNAcentral.